UACGUAGGGUGCGAGCGUUAAUCGGAAUUACUGGGCGUAAAGCGUGCGCAGGCGGUUCGUUGUGUCGGUGGUGAAAUCCCCGGGCUUAACCUGGGAAUGGCCAUGGAAACUGGCGAACUGGAGUGUGGCAGAGGGGGUGAAUUCCGCGUGUAGCAGUGAAAUGCGUAGAGAUGCGGAGGAACACCGAUGGCGAAGGCAGCCCCCUGGGCUAACACUGACGCUCAGGCACGAAAGCGUGGGGAGCAAACAGG
This 251-nucleotide ribosomal RNA is filed under the name uncultured bacterium. RNAcentral describes it as "partial 16S ribosomal RNA". It matches the Rfam family "Bacterial small subunit ribosomal RNA", at positions 524 to 776 of the family's 1533-position model. The record is from RNAcentral.